RNAcentral lists this ribosomal RNA (301 nucleotides) under uncultured bacterium. RNAcentral's name for it is "partial 16S ribosomal RNA". It matches the Rfam family "Bacterial small subunit ribosomal RNA", at positions 509 to 807 of the family's 1533-position model. The record is from RNAcentral.
CAGCAGCCGCGGUAAUACGAAGGGGGCUAGCGUUGUUCGGAAUUACUGGGCGUAAAGCGCACGUAGGCGGAUAUUUAAGUCAGGGGUGAAAUCCCGCAGCUCAACUGCGGAACUGCCUUUGAUACUGGGUAUCUUGAGUAUGGAAGAGGUUAGUGGAAUUGCGAGUGUAGAGGUGAAAUUCGUAGAUAUUCGCAGGAACACCAGUGGCGAAGGCGGCUAACUGGUCCAUAACUGACGCUGAGGUGCGAAAGCGUGGGGAGCAAACAGGAUUAGAUACCCCUGUAGUCCCUGUCUCUUAUAC